Molecule: ribosomal RNA, 497 nt
Filed under: uncultured bacterium
Lineage: Bacteria
Description: partial 16S ribosomal RNA
Rfam family: Bacterial small subunit ribosomal RNA
Source: RNAcentral
GAUGAACGCUGGCGGCGUGCCUAAUACAUGCAAGUCGAGCGAACAGACGAGGAGCUUUCUCCUCUUACGGUAGCGGCGGACGGGUGAGUAACACGUGGAUAACCUUCCUAUAAGACUGGGAUAACUUCGUGGAACCGGAGCUAAUACCGGAUAAUAUAUUCAACCGCAUGGUUCAAUAGUGAAAGACGGUUUUGCUGUCACUUAUAGACGGAUCCGCGCCGCAUUAGCUAGUUGGUAAGGUAACGGCCUACCAAGGCGACGAUGCGUAGCCGAUCUGAGAGGGUGAUCAGCCACACUGGAACUGAGACACGGUCCAGACUCCUACGGGAGGCAGCAGUGGGGAAUAUUGCACAAUGGGCGAAAGCCUGACGGAGCAACGCCGCGUGAGUGAUGAAGGUCUUCGGAUCGUAAAGCUCUGUUAUUAGGGAAGAACAAAUGUGUGAGUAACUCUGCACGUCUUGACGGUACCUAAAGAGAAAGCACCGGCUAACUACGUG